AGAAAAUAAGCAAAUACUAUAAAAAGCAGAACAAAUAUCAAUGGCGUUAAUAGCAUCAUCGAAUUUAUUCCGUCGGAAAUUGCCCAUAGUAGGCGCUUUCUGUGUUCUUACUUUUGGUCUUUCUAAUCUCUCUGUCCCUUUUACUAAUACAGGUUUUGCUCAUUCACUUCCCUUUCCCCCUCUUCUGCGGUCGAAAUUAGGUGGUGAAAGACGAAGUACAAGUGUUAGUAGAAUAAGAAUGGAAGCUAGCAGCAAGAUUGUUCCAAGCAUUGUUGUUUAUGUCACUGUUCCUAACAAAGAAUUGGGUAAGAAACUGUCAGGGAGCAUAGUCAAGGAGAAACUUGCAGCAUGUGUUAAUCGAGUACCAGGUGUAGAAUCGGUUUACGAGUGGCAAGGAGAGAUACAGACCGAUUCUGAAGAGCUGCUUAUAAUCAA
Molecule: unclassified non-coding RNA, 435 nt
Filed under: Hevea brasiliensis (rubber tree)
Lineage: Eukaryota; Viridiplantae; Streptophyta; Magnoliopsida; Malpighiales; Euphorbiaceae
Source: RNAcentral